This 376-nucleotide ribosomal RNA is filed under the name uncultured organism. RNAcentral's name for it is "partial 16S ribosomal RNA". It matches the Rfam family "Bacterial small subunit ribosomal RNA", at positions 527 to 897 of the family's 1533-position model. The record is from RNAcentral.
GUAGGUGGCAAGCGUUGUCCGGGAAUUAUUGGGGCGUAAAGCGCGCGCAGGCGGUUCUUUAAGUCUGAUGUGAAAGCCCACGGGCUCAACCGUGGAAGGUCAUUGGAAACUGGAGAACUUGAGUACAGAAGAGGAAAGCGGAAUUCCACGUGUAGAGGUGAAAUGCGUAGAGAUGUGGAGGAACACCAGUGGCGAAGGCGGCUUUCUGGUCUGUAACUGACGCUGAGGCGCGAAGGCGUGGGGAGCAAACAGGAUUAGAUACCCUGGUAGUCCACGCCGUAAACGAUGAGUGCUAAGUGUUAGGGGGUUUCCGCCCCUUAGUGCUGCAGCUAACGCAUUAAGCACUCCGCCUGGGGAGUACGGCCGCAAAGGCUGA